Long non-coding RNA from Acanthochromis polyacanthus (spiny chromis), 576 nucleotides. RefSeq lists it as uncharacterized. The transcript is spliced from 3 exons. Lineage: Eukaryota; Metazoa; Chordata; Actinopteri; Pomacentridae. The record is from RefSeq and is a predicted model, not a curated record.
CAGGUCCAGAUGUUCCAGAUGUGAGGGGUUGGACUUCAGAGCUGAGACCAGAGAAUCACAGCUGAUCUCUGACAAACUGCAGUUCUCCAAUCUGAAUAAAGAAUAAAAGAUCUUCAUCAAUGAGAUCUGUUCAUUUAUUCUACCAGAGGAGAAGCUGCUGGACCACAGAGGACAAAUACAUUUGCUUCCAGGACAGAAAGGUGAAAAGCAUCUAAAGGUUGAGCAGCAGAUAAAGCCACUGUCUUUACUUCAGUCAUCUCACAGCUCCAAAUGCUGGAAAGGAUGAAGGAGAGAGUUUGUGCCACUGGUGAGCUUCCAGUUAAAGUGUUGCAGUGAUGUGACACACAACAGGUGCUGACAGGUGAGGAGAGUUCUUCUACUCACUGACUUCUAUCAGCUCAGCACAGAGAACUUUAAGGACACUUUAGCUUUGACUCUGGACUGAGUCUAGACUUUAUGACUCCCUACUACAUUUAAAAAGAAAAACUCUGUGGAUGAUUCACAGCAGUCAUUAAAACUGAUGAGAAAAAAGAAACAUUCACCCAAAGAUGAGAACUUUGAAUCACUGAAAACAUG